RNA transcript from Acanthopagrus latus (yellowfin seabream), 9039 nucleotides. It is a transcript of the gene named centromere protein F, with no coding region annotated. The record is from RefSeq and is a predicted model, not a curated record. The transcript has 38 exons. Lineage: Eukaryota; Metazoa; Chordata; Actinopteri; Spariformes; Sparidae.
GGCUGACGUCACACGAAGCAGCCAAUGGGCGUGGAGUUGAGUGAAUUGCGGUUUCCUCCUGUGGAAUUUGAAUUUUAUAACGAGAGCGACCCAAACAGACGGUGUGUGUGUAUGUGUGGGAUAAAGGAGCAUCGCGCCCAAAGUUGUAAACCAUGAGCUGGGCGGUGGAGGAGUGGAAGGAUGGACUUCCAGGGAAAGCCCUGCAGAAGAUCCAGGAGAUGGAGGUCCAGCUGGACAAACUGAAGAAGGAGAGGAGCCAGAAGCAGUUUCAGCUGGACUCCUUAGAGGCUGCUCUGCAGAAACAGAAACAAAAGGCGGACAGUGAACGGAGCGAGACCUCUGCUCUGAAGAGAGAGAACCAGUCUUUAGUCGAGUCCUGUGACGCUCUAGAGAAAACCCGUCAGAAGGUCAGCCAUGACCUCGGAGUCAAAGAGCAGCAGGUGAGCUACCUAGAAGGCCAGCUUAACUCCUGCAGGAAGACCAUAGAGCGACUGGAGCAAGAGCUGAAGAAGUAUAAGAAUGAGCUGGAUCGUUCCCAGCCUGCUGGAUCCUCCUCUUUGUCAUCCUCUUCCUCUGAGCUUCAGCCCUACACUACUCCACAGAAAAGUUUUUCUACCCCAGCUCCUGUCGCUGCUUACAGACAUCAAGAUAACAGACUAGAUGAGCUCCAGGAGAAAUACAACCAGGAGGUAGAAGAAAGAAAAAGGCUGGAGACUGAACUCAAAGUCCUGCAGGUUAAACUGUUGAGUCAGUCCUCAGUCAGUGUAAGCCACAAGGACAUUGCUGCCCGCCAAGCCGGAUCUUCCAUAUUCCCAUGGCAGGAUCAGGCCCACAGCCGCCCGUCUCAGGAUGCGAUGGAAACGCCUCUGAAGAGGCGGGGGACGUCCCUGUGGGAAGCCCACGAGGAAACACCUAUAAAAGCCAGGAUGAGCUCCACCAGAGUAGCACAGAGUCCCAGUGGAUCCUCCCAGCAGAUGGAGCAGCUAAAUACCAUCAACCAAGAGCUGCGUGGCCGUGUGUCAGAGCUGGAGAGAAAUCUGUCCACUCAGGAGAAGGAAAUUCGCAGCCAGGCGUCCAAGCUGCAGGAACUACAGACCCAACUGAACCAGGCCCGCAAAGAGCUGACUGAACGGGACAGAGACCUGACCAAGACCAGACACGAGCUGACCCAGGCCACAGACAGACACCAGCAGGUUGAAUCAAAGUGUUCAUCAGUUGAGCAGAAGCUGAAACAAGUCUCGGAGGAGAUGAACUGUCAGAGGCACAACGCUGAGAGCUGCAGGCGAACCCUGGAACAGAAACUCAAAGACCAAGAGAGAAACAGCCAAAAGGAGCUGGCUCAGCUGCAGAGUUCUCACCAGGCUUUGGAUCAGCAGCUGAACCAGACCAGAGCCAAACUAACACAGGAGCUCCAACAGUCCAAAAAAGAGUGCAACAUGCUGCAGGCUGACACUGAGAAGAUGAAUUUCCAGAAGAGUCAGAUGGAGAAGGAGGUGGAGGAGCAGAAACAGAAAUUGCUGAGGUCAGAGCAGAGCCUCCAGGCCAGCCAGACCAAAGAGCAGGACCUUCGCAAGAAACUGGAGGAGCUGCAGAAAGAGAAGAACACGGCGACUGUUCAGUUGGACCAGAGCAGCAGGCGUCUGAGUCAGCUGGAGGAAGAGAAGAAGAGCGCAGACCAGAGCCUCAAACGCACCCAGGGAUUACUCGAUGACAUAAAAGCAAAAUCAGAAGGGCAGGCGGAGGAACUGAAGAGACUUCAGGCUAAACUGGAGCAGCAGACUCAGGCUUCGGCCCGCGAGCUGGAAAACAUGAAAAAGACCAUUUCUGAUGCAGAGACCAAAAAUGACAGAUCUCAGAAUGACCUACAGAAACAGAGGCAAGAGGCAGAGAAGCUGACCAACAGGCUGACGGUCCUGGAGAAGGAGAGCCAGGAGCUGAAAUCCAAUCUCACUGCGAGUCAGAACGAGUGUAAGGAACUGAAACAAGCGCAUCAAGCUCUGCUGGAGUGGAAGAAAGAAAAGGAGACCUUGAUCAAUGAAACUGAGGCUGUGCAAAAAGACCUCACUGAUAAAAUUGCCAAUUUGGAAAACAGUCUCGCCUCACUGAAUGAGGCUACUGAUGAACUGAAGAAGAAGCUUGUGAGUGUAGAGGGAGACAAGACCAGUCUGUCUGCUCACAUCGACUCGUUGAAGGGAGAACUCCUCAACAAGAGCACAGAGUUGGAGGAGAAGGAGCACAAGUACAACGAGCUCCAAUCUAAGUUCACUGAAGCUGGGCAGAAACACACCAAAGACCUGGAGAAUGUUGCUGUACAAGUGGCUCAGCUUGAGAAACAGGUCAAAGAUCUGGAGUUGCGUUUGCAAAAAGAGUUGGCUCGAGCAGAGCAGGCUGAGAGGACCAACGCAGAGCUGCAGGACGAGCACCAGGCAGCCUGCGAUCUGGCUCACUCCAAAGACCAGCUGCUAGAGUUGGGCCAAGCUGAGGUCAGCCAGCUGAGAGAGAGCCUCGCUCGGGCCACUGCACAGCAGGAGGAGCACAGUGCCAGGUUGGCGGAGGAGAAGGUAGCCCUGCAGAAGCAGUGUGAGGAGAGUGUUUCAGUGAAGGUUGAAGAGACUGAACAGUUUAGGCUUCGGCUGGAGGACGUUCAGCAAGAGCUGCUGAUUUCCAAAAACCAGGUCAAUUCCAUGGAUCAGUGCCUGAAGGUCCAGGAGCAACUGGGAGCUGAGCUGCACAGACAAAUUCAGGCACUGACGGAAAGUGAAGAGGAGCACAAAAAACUGAAUGAGAAAAAGUCAGAAGAGCUCCAGCAGUUAGAGGAGGAGCUGAAGGAUCUGCAGAGCGACACAGAAGAGAUGAAGCAGCAGCUCCGAGAUGCUGAAGCCCAGAUUUCAUCUCUUGAGAAACAAAAGGCUGAGCUGGAAAAUGCAGUUCAAGAGACUAAGAAGGAGGCUGAGACAAUCCAGCAGGCUCAGAGUGAGAAGAUCAACAAUCUUCUGGAGCAGAUAUCCUCAUUAGAAGACAAACUAACUGCAAGCAAGGAUGCAGCAGAGAUGCUUCCAGUCUUGCAGAAUGAACUGGACAAGGUCAACCAGUCCCACACUGACCUCAAGAAGUGCCUGGAAACGCUUGAAAAGAACCAUUCCUCCGUUACUGAAAUAAAGACCAACUUGGAGAGCACCCUGACUGAGAAAACCAAUCUGAUUGCUACUUUGGAGAAAAAAGUCAAAGAGCUCACAGAGAAGAUGAGCAAAGAGUCUGAGAGUCAUGCUUUGAAGAUCGAAAAUGCCCUUAACAAAGAGAGGCGUCUCGAAGAGCAGCUGGAAGCCGCUAAGCAAUCAUUAACUGCAGCUAAAGUGGAAUCACGGUCUUGGCGGGAGGAGAUAAAGACCAUGAAGACGACUCUGUCUGCUGCCUCACGCGGCCUCGAAGAGAGAGACAACAUGGUAAAGAGCCUGAAGGAGAAGCUGAAUAGAGCGGAGGCAGAGCAGGCCAAAACAUCAGAUCUCCUGAAAGAGAAAGUGGUUGCCAUGAACAAAAUCAAGGUGCAAAUGGAGAUGCUGCAGAUGGACCUGGAGGACAACGAGACGGCUAUGAACUCAUUUGACAGUCAGGUGGAGGAACUGAAGGGAACCGUAGAGUCACUGGAGGCUCAGCUAGCUCAGAACCAGACCCACAUGUCUGACAUGGAGGCCAUGCUGGAGGAGAGCAAAGCCCAGGUCUCAGUCUUGGAAACCCGGUUAGAGGAGGUUCAAUGUCAGAACUCUGCGCUGGAGUCGCAAUAUUUCACAGCCAGGGAGGAGCUGAUGGAGAGGAGCUGUGAAAUAACUCGACUGGAAGAGGACGCUGUCAAGCGAAGCCAGCUGGAGGAGGACAUCGCUGCGCUAGAGUUGAAACUCAGGCAAAGUGCAGAGGAAAAUGUCAAGUUAGAGGCGACUCUCAGGCAGAUAAUUGAUGACAAAGAAAACAACCUUAGGCAGUUGCUACAGGAGAAAAAUAACCUUGAGAUCACUAUGAAACAGCUGGCCGAUGACAAAGAGCAAGUCGAGGCUGAAAUGAUUCAAGUUAAUGCACAGAAGAAACGGCUGGAAGCAGAUUUAGACGAGCUCGCUGAAGAGAACAAACAACUGCAGAGCAACGUUGAGCGGUUUAGUGAAGAGAAGCAAAAGAUUGAUCGAAUGACUGCAGAGAAGCAAGAAGUUGAAUCGAACCUUAGGCAGGUCACUGAAGAGAAAACCCAACUACAUGUUGCCCUUAAUCAGAUGAGCCAGGACAAGAUCCAACUUGAGGCUCAACUAAGCGAACUGACCGCAGAGAAAAAUAACCUGAAUAGAGUCGCUGAGGAAAAGCUUCAGCUGGAAGUUAACUUUAAUCAGCUGACUGAAGAGAACAUCAGGCUUCAAUCUGAUGUGAGUCAAGUAACUGAGGAGAAGCUGCUGUUACAAGAGAGCAUAGAGAGGCGUGAAGAUGAGGUGGCUUCACUCAAAGAGGAGAACGAGUGUAUCCAGCACUCACUGCUGUCCUCAGAGCAGGAGCGCCAGAGGCUGAAGGAGCUGCUCGAGGUGACGGAGAAGAGGACUGAGGAGGAGAACAGGGAGAGGAGCCAGCAGUUUGAGGCAGAGCAGGCAGAACUGCAUCAGAAGCUGGCGGCCUUACAGAAGGAGCUGGUGGUGUUGAAGCAGCAGUACGAUUCACUGCUGCAGCAGGUGCACCAACAACACAGCCUCAUACAGCAGCUCUCAGAAUCGCAGGCAUCCCAGAUCUCAGAAGACCAAAUCAGCUGCAUGGAGUCUGAGGACACAGAAACUGGUGCAGAGGCAACAGGACAGACUGAAACAGAGUCCCCUCAAAUGAAAGACGAGCUGACCCCGACGGUGUCCGAGCAGGAUGAACUUUCCCCCAAUUCUGAUGAAUCUUUCAGUGAGACAGAGCUGGUCUUCAAGGAGGACAUCGAUGAGUCGGCGAUGAUCCAGGAACAAUCGGACGAUGAGAAGGUGGUGUGUGUGGUCAGUGCAGAGGAAAUGGCUGGUAAAGAGGAGGAGCAGCAGCCACGCUCAGACCAGCUUCCUGAAGACAGCUGUAGUCCCCCAGAUGUUCUUGAAGCGACAGAGUCACCUCAGGCCCAAGAUGACUUCCACAAUUUCAAGGAAACAAUCACAAAACAAGAAGAUGAACUCCAGACUCUGCGUGCAGAGUUCGACCUACUAAAAUCCGACCUCGCACUGAGAAUGGAUUUGACCUCUGAACUGGAAGUUCAAGUUGACAACCUGGAGAAGAAAGCUCAGGCAGCAGAGGAGGAGGCGCACGGUGCAGCACAUAAACUGAAAAUCGCCCUGGAGGAGAAGAAAGACGUUGCUGACCAGUUGGCUCAGCUGUCAGAAGAGAGGGAGACGUUAACUCUGCAGCUCCAAACGUCUAAAUGCCAGCUGGCAGAUGUGAUGGAGAUGCUGGAAGGACUGGAGAUGGCCAAAGGUGGGUGGGAUGAGAAAUUCCUCCAGCAGGAGAGCGAGCUGAAGAGGGUUCGCUCUGAGAAAGCCAACCUGGAGCAGCACAUCCUGGGCAUGGAGUCUGAGCUGGACACCCUGCAGGACGAGAGGAGCAGGCUGAAGGAGGAGAUGGAGACCCAAAGGAGGGCUUGUUCCGGCUUGGAGCAGCAGAUAGAAACACUCUCAACAGAGACAACCCAGCUGAGAUCUGAACUCGUGUCCUGCACUGAGGAGCGAGAUGACCUGAACCAGUCUUUGGGCCAGUGGAGGGAGAAAGUUUACAGUCUGGAGAAGAACAACUGUGACACCAGAAACUUAAUUUCCAUCCUGGAGGACGACAUCAGAGCAGGGAGGAAGGAGUAUGAAGCCCUUCAAAGCAGCAUGGAGAAACUGAAGACAGAGAAGCAACAGCUGUUGGAGCAGAUUAAGGCGCUGGAGCAGGCAAUAUCCCAACAGAGCGGAGAAAGAGAGGAGCUCAUCGGGCAGCUAGGCAAGAUCACAGAAGACCACACCUCAGCCUAUGAGAACACUGAGUCCAUGGUCGGCAAGAUACAGGCGUUGGAGGGAGAAGUGUGCCGUCUCUCACAGUCUCUUGAAGCCUCUCUGCUAGAAAAAGGAGAGAUCGCCUCUCGCCUGAACUCUACACAAGAUGAGGUCAAGCAGAUGAGGACUGGUAUCGAAAAGCUCCAGGUCCGCAUCGAGUCGGACGAGAGAAAGAAGAAGAAGAUGGGAGAGCUGCUCAAAGCGGCUCAGAGAAAGUCUGAUUCACUGCAAGAUCGCAUUGAUGCCCUGGAGCGAGAACGGGAAGAUGCAGAGCAAAGUCUGGAGGACGCUGUGCUGCAGGCUGAAAUGGCCAAAGCUGAGCUGGAGGAGCAAAGGCAAAAGGUGGAGGAGGAAAAGAGGGAGCUCAACGCCAAACUAUCAGAGCUCUCUGCCUCGCUGGACGACCUGAGAUCUGAGAAAGAACGCAUGGAGCGAGAGCUGGAAACAAAAAACCGAGAGAUAGAAGAACUGAAGGCCGCCAAGGAGGAGCUGGAGAGAGGGCUGGAGAGGGCAGAGGUGGACAGAAGAGAGGAAGAGGAACGACAGAGAAACAGGGUAGAGGAGCUGGAGAAAGGGAUGAAAGAGGAAGCAGAGAAGCAAACGAGACAGGUGGACGACCUCCGGGCUCAGCUGGAAGCGUCUCGGCAGAGAGAAGUCACCCUCGAACAGAAGAGUGCAGAAACUGAAGGGGACAAAGAGAGGAUGCAGUCUCUGCUGGUGGAGACGGAGAAAGAGAAAACCUGUCUGCAGGCUUCUCUGGAGGAGUGGCAGACGGAAGGAGAGAGGCUCCGCUCAAAGGCAGAGGAGACGGAGAAACUGCACUUGACCCUGUUCUCCCUGGAACAAGAGCGUGAUGACCUGCGCUGCUCACUUGCAUCUGUAGAAGAAGAGAAAGAAAGACUAGAACAAGAGCGGGCGACAUUAGCUGAUGAGAAAGAGAAGCUUCUAUCUGACCUGUCCUCGAUAGAAAAGGAGAAACACGACAUGCAACAAACUCUCUCUUCAUUAAAACAAGAGAAGGAAAGAAUAGAGGAGGAGAAACAGAAGUUAGAGGCUGAAAAAGAAGAAUUGUUGUCUUCGCUGUCUUUGAUAGAAGUGGAGAAAAAUAACUUGUCGUCAGCUCUGUCUUCUCUGCGCGAAGAGACGCAGAGAGCAGAAGAGGAGAAAGAGAAACAGUCAGAAGAGCAAGAGAGACUUCAGUCUGCAGUUUCCACUACGGAGAAGGAGGUGGAAACAUACAAGCUGUGUGUCGCAAAGCUCAACGAGCAGGUGUCCGAGCUGACCUCUAACAGCGCCCGUCUGUCUAAAGAGAAAGACUCCGCCCUGAGCAAGAUGAGUCUUUGGAUGAAGACCUGCAAACAGCUGGAGCAGGAGAAGCAAGACAUGUUAAACAGCUCAGGUGACAAAAAGACGAGAGAGGAGGCGCAGACUGAGGUGAACCAGCUGAAGAUGGAGGCAGAAGAGAGAAUGAAGGAAGUUGAGGGCCUGAAAACUUCCCUGCAGCAGAAGAGGACGGAGGCAGAAGAAAACACUAAGCAGGUGGUGGAUCUUAAAGCUGCCCUCGAUGAAAAGAAGAAGGAACUAGAAGUGACAACAGGAGAGCUGGAGGAGCUGAAGAGUGAGCUGGAAGAACUCAACAAACUUGUGGAGGACAAAAGCAGCGAGGCAGAUGAGAGCAUGGAGAAAUACUGCAGUCUGAUGGUUCAAUACCACAAACUGGAAGAGACCAACGAUGCACUGACGACGCGCCUGGAGCAGCUCACUGCCACCCAGCGCGCUAACGAAGCUAACGUCCACUCCAGCAGCACCGACUGUACACGCCGCCGGCGCUCAGCGAGGAAGUCCUCCGCCAACCGUCAGGAAGGAAAGCUGAACGACAACACUGAGAACACAGCUCCUUCAACACCUCAGAGGUCUCCUCAGGGCUCCUCUGCAGGGAAGCGAGGUCACCGUGACAUCAGUGAUAAAGACGCACAGGAGGCCCUCCUCAACCUGACAAAGAAGAUCAAAGCCAACGCAGUGACGACACCCAAACCAAGAAGUCAGCAGGAAGAUGAGGAAUUCAAACCAGAGGGACUUCCUGAGCUGGUGCAGAGAGGGUUUGCUGAUAUUCCUCUGGGGGAGGCCAGUCCAUUCAUCAUGAGGAGAACCACAGUGAAGCGCAGUCCUCGGCUGGCUGCCAGACAGGCUGCUUCCACACCUGACGGCAAGGUCAGCUUCUAAUCGUGUCAGGUCAGCUGAAGUGAACCAGUCGUGUUUUUAAAGGAUGUGGAGGUUUCAGGUUUUGAGUUCCUCUGCAGACGACUCGAUAAAUGUAAGGAAGACGCCGGAGCACAAAGAGAAACAACAGCAAGGAGAAAACUGUCACGUACAGUAGAUCGAUGUUCACAUGCACUCACACUCACACACACACAAAAAGUCUUGCACUUGUGAUUUAUUUGUAGAAAUGCACACUUGUAAACACGAAAUCUUACCACUCCCCUUGUUUGUUUUUUCCUAAAGACACAAUUAGUUUCAAAGUAGCAUCCAUCCAGCCAGUGUGUAACACUUAAGAUGCUGUGCUGUGUGGUGAUACCCGUUUGUUCCUCUGUCUACAUCUCUUCACUUCUCUUUGUGUUCUUAUCACUGGUUCUUCUUUAUUUUCUUCUGUACUGUUCUUGUUGUUGAGAAAACUUUUGUUCUUUGUACAUACUAGUAGAUAUAUACAGCAUUAACCGCUAUGCUUCAUCCCUCUAUUAGUCCUGUAACAUGUCUGAUCGCUAAUGGCAGCUAAGAUUUUGUAGAUUUUCUCCUGUUUUAACUUUCUAGAUAUUUUUGUAAUUGUAGACGGGAAAAGAAAUGUGUUUUUAAUUCACUUUUGUUUUGAUGCUUUGCCUUCUUACUGAUCUGUGCGGCAAAUGCUCAAAGCAGGUCUGUAAUUUCGGUUUGUUUUUUAGUCAUGUACAGAUCAAUUCCAUUGAUCAUUGUAAAUAUUUCAAAAUUGCCCUUUUUUACUAAACCUUUUUAACUGUCA